Molecule: ribosomal RNA, 274 nt
Filed under: uncultured bacterium
Lineage: Bacteria
Description: partial 16S ribosomal RNA
Rfam family: Bacterial small subunit ribosomal RNA
Source: RNAcentral
AUACGGAGGGGGUUAGCGUUGUUCGGAAUUACUGGGCGUAAAGCGCACGUAGGCGGAUUGGAAAGUUGGGGGUGAAAUCCCAGGGCUCAACCUUGGAACUGCCUCCAAAACUAACAGUCUAGAGUUCGAGAGAGGUGAGUGGAAUUCCAAGUGUAGAGGUGAAAUUCGUAGAUAUUUGGAGGAACACCAGUGGCGAAGGCGGCUCACUGGCUCGAUACUGACGCUGAGGUGCGAAAGCGUGGGGAGCAAACAGGAUUAGAAACCCUAGUAGUCC